Long non-coding RNA from Felis catus (domestic cat), 696 nucleotides. RefSeq lists it as uncharacterized. The transcript is spliced from 2 exons. The record is from RefSeq and is a predicted model, not a curated record. Lineage: Eukaryota; Metazoa; Chordata; Mammalia; Carnivora; Felidae.
AUUCUGGACGGCUAUGUACCAGCUAAAACUGGUGGGUUCUGAAAAAGAGAGAAUGAAUGCUGCGCACAACUGGCAGUUGCUGCCACAACAUUCCAUAUACCAGAAACUCAAAAUACAAUAGAUGGAUAUUUUAAAAGGAGGGCAUCAUUGACAUCACUAAAUGCCAGUUAUGAGAAUUUGCUGCCAGGAAUGCCAAGCCUAUCGGGAGAACUGGAUACACAGAGGCCUCUGAGGUUUUGGCCAACUGCAAACGAUCAUAUCUGACGAAGGACACUACACAAUGGAAGAUGCCUGAAGGAAGGUGACUGACAGUCUGGCAAAAGGCUUGAACAACAAGCCACAGAAGAAUGGCAGAAGGAACGGGAUGUGCACCCUGAGGAAGCUAUCAUGUGGAAGAAGGAUUACACUCACUCCACGAGGCUCCAGGGGGUCGAACCAAGACUAUGGGCCAAAGGUGUGAGAAGGGGAGCACACACACUGUAUGAUCAUGCUAUCAACCUCAGGCUUCCUUCCUGCCCACCAGUAAGGAGCUCCGCCAGAGGUGGCCAGUGGAUUCUUUUGUGAGCAUGUGGGCAACAAUACAACACCAUCCUGAGUCCAUCUUCUACCGGCCUCCCAGACCAGUGCACUGUGCACAACCAACCACAUGAGUCAGGAUCCCUGAAAUUCAUACAAUGAACAUCAGCCUGGGCUUAA